This 253-nucleotide ribosomal RNA is filed under the name uncultured bacterium. Its description in RNAcentral is "partial 16S ribosomal RNA". It matches the Rfam family "Bacterial small subunit ribosomal RNA", at positions 524 to 776 of the family's 1533-position model. The record is from RNAcentral.
UACGUAGGUGGCAAGCGUUGUCCGGAUUUAUUGGGUUUAAAGGGUGCGUAGGCGGCUUGAUAAGUCAGUGGUGAAAGCCGAUCGCUUAACGAUCGAACUGCCAUUGAUACUGCCAGGCUUGAGUAUAGUUGAGGUAGGCGGAAUUGACAGUGUAGCGGUGAAAUGCUUAGAUAUGACAUAGAACACCAAUUGCGAAGGCAGCUUACUACAGGAAUAUUGACACUGAUGCACGAAAGCGUGGGGAUCAAACAGG